This 421-nucleotide long non-coding RNA is filed under the name Homo sapiens (human). Its description in RNAcentral is "non-protein coding lnc-OMA1-1:1". Lineage: Eukaryota; Metazoa; Chordata; Mammalia; Primates; Hominidae. The record is from RNAcentral.
AUGGCAGAUUUAUUCAUGUUAUGUGGGAAGAAGGGCUAGGAUGACACAAGAAAGAAAAAGAAGUCAACUGUGGUUGAAGUAAGCACUGAGCUGAUUUUUGUUGGAGUAGAACGUUUCAAUGAAGAUGCUGAAAUUCUCUGUGUUGGAGUGAUUUCAAAUUCACAAUUUCAACCCUUUUGGACAGUCAUGCCUGGCACAUAUUCAAGAAAAACGAAAGGCCACUUCAGUCAAGGUGCCACCCAUACAUUGCAGCCUUCCAAGUACGUGACCCUCAUCAAAUCCUGUGGCUGUUUCACCUGGUUCUCAUUCUGAAUCUAUAUCAUCAGAGGCCUGAUUGUUGUCUGUUGAACUUCUGUCUAAACCUGUUAUAAGACAAGCCAUGCCUCAUAAUUCUUCAGAGUCACUCUCUUCUUUAACUCAG